UACGGAGGAUCCGAGCGUUAUCCGGAUUUAUUGGGUUUAAAGGGUGCGUAGGCGGGAGAUCAAGUCAGUGGUGAAAGUUUGCAGCUUAACUGUAAAAUUGCCAUUGAAACUGAUUUUCUUGAGUACAGACGAGGUAAGCGGAAUGUGUAGUGUAGCGGUGAAAUGCAUAGAUAUUACACAGAACACCGAUAGCGAAGGCAGCUUACUGGUAUGUAACUGACGCUGAGGCACGAAAGCGUGGGGAUCGAACAGG
RNAcentral lists this ribosomal RNA (253 nucleotides) under uncultured bacterium. RNAcentral describes it as "partial 16S ribosomal RNA". It matches the Rfam family "Bacterial small subunit ribosomal RNA", at positions 524 to 776 of the family's 1533-position model. The record is from RNAcentral.